This is a long non-coding RNA of Rosa rugosa (rugosa rose), 2296 nucleotides long. RefSeq lists it as uncharacterized. The record is from RefSeq and is a predicted model, not a curated record. The transcript has 7 exons. Lineage: Eukaryota; Viridiplantae; Streptophyta; Magnoliopsida; Rosales; Rosaceae.
CUUCCUCAUCGAAUGAAACAAAUUGGAGCUCAGAUCUAAAGCUUUGAGUGAAACAAAUUCACUCACCACGGACGGGUGAUUCUCUCACCUUCUUGAUCUGCCUCUACAUUCUUUUACUAAAUCUGUUUUCUCAUUCCCUCAAACCCUCGUUUUCUCCCACAGCCCCUCUUGCUUUUCUCUCCAAUCUCGAUGUCACCCACCAAAUUGAACUUCGAAGAACUUCGUGGCCCUUGGGUUGACUUGGAUUCAGGGAUUAUUCUUUUUGGGUAAUCUCAAUUAAGUCUUCUCUCUUGUGGAACCCGAUGCAACUCGAUGAUUCAGAUUCAAUGGCCGGGUCACUUGUGUGAAGCUCGUCCGAGCGGCGUGCGAAGGCACUUGAUCGAAGGAGCAGCAGCAACAUGUUCCCCUCCACUAUCGCUCAUUCGGAUGAAUAUUACAAAUCUGAUCAAAGAAAGCAUAAGAAUGGGCUACAAUGAUUUUGGAGAUUUCCAUUAUUCUCAUGGCAACUUGGGGAUGCUUUUUAAGAGCUAUGUUUGUACUCCUGAUUAUUGUACUACAUCAAAGCAUAUUGUUCAUAUGUGCAUGUGUUCCAUUCUGGUUAGCAUAGAUAUGGGUCAAUUUACUCAUGUCGCAAGCAAUGCUAGCAAAGCAGAACAAACACUAGAAGCUAUGUUGCAAGCUAUGAUAAUCUUCACAAGUAGUUUGUUGCAUGGUUUUAUGAUUAUCAUAAAUUUUUUUGGCCUAUUAAUGUUUAUAUGUACAUGAAAGUAAAAUUUUCUAUGUUAGCUGAUGAAUGCCUUAGGGACUUAACAUAAAUUUUUUUGGCCUAUUAAUGCUUAAAUGUACAUGAAAGUAAAAUUUUCUAUGUUAACUGAUGAAUGCCUCAGGGACUUACAAAAUUUCAAUAAAGCUGUCAGCGUACUUAUCAUUUGCCUUAAGAAGAUUGAUAGUGACAACUAUCUUGAGGUAUUAUCUUCUUUAUUUGAGCUAAAAGAUAAACUUCUUAUGCAAAUUAACUUCUGUAUUUGAUAUAUGUACUGUUUUAUAAUAGUUGAACUAAGUAUCAAUUUUGAAAACUUGAAUGAUUCAUAAAAAAGUUAGUAAUGAUAGAAAGUUUCUUGUUUCUUUUUCUUAUCUACAAGAACUCAGUCGUAAGCUUGCAGGAAUUCAAUUUGGGUGUGUUCAGAUCAUUCUCUUUGUUCCAAAGGGUUUAUCCCUGUAAGAUUUAAUUCUCUUUUUGACAUGUGUUAUCAACUGAUCAUAGAGCACGGUACCACAUGUGGAAGUCACCUAAAUUGUUUCUGCAGUUGGAUAUAAUUCAAGUAUAAGAUUAUGAUUUGCCAAGUUUUCUUAGGUAUAGCUGCACCAGCUCCAGGACAGGCGGGACUUUUACUUCCUAAUUUUGUUCCUAAAUAUGCUGUAGGACUUUCUUUUUUUUUGUGUUCGUGGUCAUCAGGCAACACCCUGAACUUAAGGAUAGGCCUGUAGCUGUAUGUCAUUCUGAUAAUCCAAAGGACACUGCUGAAAUUUUAUCUCCAACCUACUCUGCUCAAGAUUAUGGUCUGUUUUGGAUUGAGGGCUGCGUUGUUUGUCAGAGAUGCUAAGGCUCUUUGUCCAUAACUUGUCAUUUUUCCUUAUGAUUUUGAAGUGUAUGAGGAGGUAGCUGAUCAGUUCUAUGACAUUCUACAUAAGCACUGCAGAAAAGUAGAAGUGCAUGAUUAUUUAUAUGAACUUCCUAUCAAGAUGCUUCCAGGAAUAGGACGCAUUUUAGAGGAGAAGUUGAAGAAGCGAAAUAUUUUGAUGUGUGGACAGUUGCGUACGAUUCCUAAGGUGUCUUUAUUGAUGAAUCUAAUGAUAAAAGGGUGACCACCUAAGUCCGCUGCAGCUACAUUACUCUUCCUCCGUAUGCACUUGUAACACAGAUGGGUUCACAAUUCAAGGGUAAGAUACUAGAAGAUAAUAUGGCUGGCAUUCUAAAGUAAUGGCACGGUGAUGUGAGGAGGAAAAGGAAGAAGGAAGAACAAGUAUCACAAUCUGCACGCAUGUCUCUUUCCAUGGAAUGGAGCUCCAUGAGGCACAACAUAUGUAUUUGCAGAUUUCUUACCUCUGGUAUGAAUCAAAUUAGUUGAUAUUUGAAGCCUACUUAGUGUAGCAGCAACUUUGAAUUAAAUUGGUCAAAACAGUAGAGUAGGACAUUUUGGUUCUAUAUUCUCUUUUAAUGAGAUGGACUUAUGGUGUUUGUGGACUACUUGUUAUUGGAUGUUUUCUAUAUCAGUUCUCAUAUUAUAAAGACUUG